This 402-nucleotide ribosomal RNA is filed under the name Caldanaerobacter sp. enrichment culture. RNAcentral describes it as "bacterial SSU rRNA". It matches the Rfam family "Bacterial small subunit ribosomal RNA", at positions 355 to 774 of the family's 1533-position model. The record is from RNAcentral. Lineage: Bacteria; Bacillati; Bacillota; Clostridia; Thermoanaerobacterales; Thermoanaerobacteraceae.
UGGGGAAUCUUCCGCAAUGGGCGAAAGCCUGACGGAGCGACGCCGCGUGAGCGAAGAAGGCCUUCGGGUCGUAAAGCUCGAUAGUGUGGGAAGAAGGAAUGACGGUACCACACGAAAGCCCCGGCUAACUACGUGCCAGCAGCCGCGGUAAGACGUAGGGGGCGAGCGUUGUCCGGAGUUACUGGGCGUAAAGGGCGCGUAGGCGGUUUAGCAAGUCAGGUGUAAAAGACCACGGCUCAACCGUGGAGGUGCACCUGAAACUGCUAGGCUAGAGGGCAGGAGAGGGGAGUGGAAUUCCCGGUGUAGCGGUGAAAUGCGUAGAUAUCGGGAGGAAUACCAGUGGCGAAGGCGACUCCCUGGACUGGCCCUGACGCUGAGGCGCGAGAGCGUGGGGAGCAAACA